RNAcentral lists this ribosomal RNA (444 nucleotides) under uncultured Anaerolineaceae bacterium. RNAcentral describes it as "bacterial SSU rRNA". It matches the Rfam family "Bacterial small subunit ribosomal RNA", at positions 925 to 1382 of the family's 1533-position model. The record is from RNAcentral. Lineage: Bacteria; Bacillati; Chloroflexota; Anaerolineae; Anaerolineales; Anaerolineaceae.
ACAAGCAGCGGAGCGUGUGGUUUAAUUCGAUGCUACACGAAGAACCUUACCAAGGUUUGACAUGUAAGUGGUAGUGAUCUGAAAAGUGAACGACCCUUCGGGGAGCUUACACAGGUGCUGCAUGGCUGUCGUCAGCUCGUGUCGUGAGAUGUUCGGUUAAGUCCGCUAACGAGCGCAACCCUCACUGUGUGUUACAUGUGUCACACGGGACUGCCGGUUUUAAGCCGGAGGAAGGCGAGGAUGACGUCAAGUCAGCAUGGCCUUUAUAUCUUGGGCUACACACACGCUACAAUGGUCUGUACAAUAGGUUGCCAAGCCGCGAGGCGGAGCCAAUCCUUAAAGCAGGCCUCAGUUCAGAUUGCAGGCUGCAACCCGCCUGCAUGAAGAUGGAGUUGCUAGUAACCGCAGGUCAGCUAUACUGCGGUGAAUACGUUCCCGGGUCUU